GAUCAAGCGACUAAGUGCAUCUGGUGGAUGCCUUGGCGAUCAUAGGCGAUGAAGGACGUGUAAGCCUGCGAAAAGCGCGGGGGAGCUGGCAAUAGAGCAUUGAUCCCGCGAUGUCCGAAUGGGGAAACCCACCUCUUUUGAGGUAUCCCUGGCUGAAUCCAUAGGCCAGCGGAGGCGAACCCGGCGAACUGAAACAUCUAAGUAGCCGGAGGAAAAGAAAUCAACCGAGAUUCCGCAAGUAG
RNAcentral lists this ribosomal RNA (242 nucleotides) under Laribacter hongkongensis. Its description in RNAcentral is "partial 23S ribosomal RNA". It matches the Rfam family "Bacterial large subunit ribosomal RNA", at positions 1 to 246 of the family's 2925-position model. Lineage: Bacteria; Pseudomonadati; Pseudomonadota; Betaproteobacteria; Neisseriales; Aquaspirillaceae. The record is from RNAcentral.